Molecule: long non-coding RNA, 1174 nt
Organism: Erinaceus europaeus (western European hedgehog)
Lineage: Eukaryota; Metazoa; Chordata; Mammalia; Eulipotyphla; Erinaceidae
Exons: 2
Source: RefSeq, a predicted model, not a curated record
GGCCUGUCUGAGACUCCAGAUGCCCCAGGCCCAGGAAGGGGGCCUCUGAGACCCCAGAUGCCCCCAGGCUCAGGAAGGAGGCCUGUCUGAGAUCCUCAGAUGCCCCAGGCCCAGGAAGGGGGCCUGUCUGAGACCCCAGAUGCCCCAGGCCCAGGAAGGGGGCCUGUCUGAGACCCCAGGUGCUCCCAGGCCCAGGAAGGGGGCCUGUCUGAGAUCCCAGGUGCCCCGGGACUGAUCCCAACAGGCUCUUCAGAUCCCUGUGCAUGUGUGGCUCUGCGUGGUGGCAUACAUCAGCCACCAGGACGGUCCUCCAGAGAGUCCCAACUCCCCAGGGAUGAGAAAAUGUUGGCUGUGAAGCCCAGUGGUCAGGUCCUGUCCCCCACACCCUGUCUCUGUGAAGGCUGGGCCAGGGGCAGGGACCAUCCGGGAGAGCUCUCACCCUGGGCCGCACUACCCAGUGCCCUGUGGGGCCCCGUUCUGCCUGACCUCAGGUGUGGCAGCUGUUGGGCCAUGUGCAUGCCGUAGGCUGGGGUGCUGGGGUUUGAGACAGGGGCCCCUUGCCUCCACAGCUGAGGAGAGCAAGCAUCCAGGGGCCCUUUAAAAUGACCCGAGGCCCGGGACACAGCUCACCCAGUGGGGCGUCUGCCUGACCAUGGACAUGGCCCCCGGUCUGGGCCCCAGCGCCUCUUGGAAACACCGAAGCACCUGCAGAAGCUCCGUGUGCAGGGCAUACUGUCUCUGUCUCCCAGCACAGUGGCUUGUGCACACGCCACCCACUGCUGUGGGGCUGGGUUUUGUCCUGUUUAUGUGGGACCCCGGGGAGGGGGAGACACCCAGCUCUGAGCUCGGGUGCCAGGAGGCUCCAGGAGGCUCGUGGGUGCAGCUGGGGCUCGGCUCUUGGUGGCUCUCCACCUGAGAGGAAGAUGGGGCGGGCGGGCCGCAUGUCUGGGGGGCGGAGGUGUUGGCCUCUAGUCCCUGAGUCCCCGGGAACACCCUGGCAGCUGGGCGGGCAGACAGCACACUGGGCGGGGGCCCGGCCUUGUGCCCCCUCCAGGCCUCCCCAGUCUGGAUGGGAAGUGGCCUGAAGUGUGUGUGAGGCCUUGCCCCAUAAACAGAUGGGGGGAGAUGGACAGAGGGGGAGAGAGACACACACAGAGAGAUGGCUAGAGGGGGG